CCUACGGGGGGCAGCAGUGGGGAAUAUUGCACAAUGGGGGAAACCCUGAUGCAGCGACGCCGCGUGAGUGAAGAAGUAAUUCGUUAUGUACAGCUCUAUCAGCAGGGAAGAAAAUGACGGUACUUGAGUAAGAAGCCCCGGCUAACUACGUGCCAGCAGCCGCGGUAAUACGUAGGGGGCAAGCGUUAUCCGGAUUUACUGGGUGUAAAGGGGGCGUAGACGGGAGUGCAAGUCGGGAGUGAAAGGGGGGGGCACAACCCCCGGACUGCUCUGGAAACUGUACGGCUGGAGUGCAGGAGAGGUAAGUGGAAUUCCUAGUGUAGCGGUGAAAUGCGUAGAUAUUAGGAGGAACACCAGUGGCGAAGGCGGCUUACUGGACUGUAACUGACGUUGAGGCUCGAAAGCGUGGGGAGCAAACAGGAUUAGAUACCCCUGUAGUC
Molecule: ribosomal RNA, 440 nt
Filed under: uncultured bacterium
Lineage: Bacteria
Description: partial 16S ribosomal RNA
Rfam family: Bacterial small subunit ribosomal RNA
Source: RNAcentral